This 194-nucleotide unclassified non-coding RNA is filed under the name plant metagenome. RNAcentral's name for it is "partial contains small subunit ribosomal RNA, internal transcribed spacer 1, and 5.8S ribosomal RNA". The record is from RNAcentral.
UCUCCGUUGGUGAACCGGCGGAGGGAUCAUUACCGAGUUUACAACUCCCAAACCCCUGUGAACAUACCAUUGUUGCCUCGGCGGUGCCUGCUUCGGCAGCCCGCCAGAGGACCCAAACCCUUGAUUUUAUACAGUAUCUUCUGAGUAAAUGAUUAAAUAAAUCAAAACUUUCAACAACGGAUCUCUUGGUUCUG